ACACUGUACGAGUUUGAUCCUGGCUCAGAUUGAACGCUGGCGGCAGGCUUAACACAUGCAAGUCGAACGGAACCUUCGGGUUUAGUGGCGAACGGGUGAGUAACACCUAGGAAUCUGCCUAUUAGUGGGGGAUAACGGCUCGAAAGGGUCGCUAAUACCGCAUACGUCCUACGGGAGAAAGAGGGGGAUCUUCGGACCUCUUGCUAAUAGAUGAGCCUAGGCCGGAUUAGCUAGUUGGUAGGGUAAAGGCCUACCAAGGCGACGAUCCGUAGCUGGUCUGAGAGGAUGAUCAGCCACACUGGAACUGAGACACGGUCCAGACUCCUACGGGAGGCAGCAGUGGGGAAUAUUGGACAAUGGGGGCAACCCUGAUCCAGCCAUGCCGCGUGUGUGAAGAAGGCCUUCGGGUUGUAAAGCACUUUAAGCGAGGAGGAAGGUCUUUGAACUAAUAUUUCAAAGAAUUGACGUUACUCGCAGAAUAAGCACCGGCUAACUCUGUG
This 500-nucleotide ribosomal RNA is filed under the name uncultured bacterium. RNAcentral describes it as "bacterial SSU rRNA". It matches the Rfam family "Bacterial small subunit ribosomal RNA", at positions 1 to 507 of the family's 1533-position model. The record is from RNAcentral.